GCUGAGUUAGUUCAGUCGGUAGAGCAUAAGACUCUUAAUCUCAGUGUCGUGGGUUCUCAGUUGUCCUUCAGACACGGAGCCACAAUUCUGCU
Non-coding RNA from Merluccius polli (Benguela hake), 92 nucleotides. NCBI's taxonomy places the organism in Eukaryota, Metazoa, Chordata, Actinopteri, Gadiformes, Merlucciidae. The record is from the annotation of a GenBank genome assembly.